GACGAACGCUGGCGGCGUGCUUAACACAUGCAAGUCGAACGGAAAGGCCCUGCUUUUGUGGGGUGCCCGAGUGGCGAACGGGUGAGUAACCCGUGAGUAACCUUCCCUUGACUUUGGGAUAACUUCAGGAAACCGGGGCUAAUACCGGAUAGGAGCUCCUGCUGCAUGGUGGGGGUUGGAAAGUUUCGGCGGUUGGGGAUGGACUCGCGGCUUAUCAGCUUGUUGGUGGGGUAGUGGCUUACCAAGGCUUUGACGGGUAGCCGGCCUGAGAGGGUGACCGGCCACAUUGGGACUGAGAUACGGCCCAGACUCCUACGGGAGGCAGCGGUGGGGAAUAUUGCACAGUGGGCGGAAGCCUGAUGCAGCAACGCCGCGUGCGGGAUGACGGCCUUCGGGUUGUAAACCGCUUUCGCCUGUGACGAAGCGUGAGUGACGGUAAUGGGUAAAGAAGCACCGGCUAACUACGUG
This 468-nucleotide ribosomal RNA is filed under the name uncultured bacterium. RNAcentral's name for it is "partial 16S ribosomal RNA". It matches the Rfam family "Bacterial small subunit ribosomal RNA", at positions 28 to 507 of the family's 1533-position model. The record is from RNAcentral.